GAAAGUCGAUGCAAUAGAUUUGAUCAUCUACACGAUAGCUUUGUUCAUUCCUCGAUCGUCUUCCUCCUCCAACUCCAAACUCCCCUCUAACCACCUGGAUUCUUACACCGAUAAUACCAAGGUCACUAGUAUCCCUUUUUGGUUUGAGUUCUCGUUCUUGUUUGCUGCUUUUCGAGGAGAGUUCGUGACUUGUACGACGCGUUCGUGAAUGAGUUAGAUCGAGGGAUUAACGUAAAGAAUGGUUCUUUAAAGUUAGAGUCCACUACUCAUGGGUUCUCACCCCGAGAAUAACAAGGUUUCCAUUGUGGUUGUGUCUGGGUUUUGUUCGAGGUUAUCUUGAAUAAGAUCUUCAAGAAGUUGGUGAUUUUGGAGGGAGAAUCGUGAAGAAAAGGUUCUACAAAGAUCUUCAAGAAUCCCUCGAACUGGAAAUGGACACUAUCACGAUGGCGACCUUGGUAUCCUCAGGAUGAUGAAAGAGAUUCUCUCAUAUCAAAUGCCCAUAAAAAAAACCACCCACUUAUGUGGGUGGAGAAAAAGAGCUCUCUCUCUCUCUCUCUAUAUAUAUAUAUAACAAC
Non-coding RNA from Benincasa hispida (wax gourd), 575 nucleotides. Lineage: Eukaryota; Viridiplantae; Streptophyta; Magnoliopsida; Cucurbitales; Cucurbitaceae. The record is from RefSeq and is a predicted model, not a curated record.